CCCAGCUGGGACUGCCGUCAGGAGCAGGAACGCACUGCAACCACAUGCCCGACUCGCACACUUCUGUGUCCGGAGACACCAGCCGCCCGUCUAGGGUGGCCAAACUGAAGGUCCUCAAAGAUAUCUGUGAUAAAGAAGUUUACCUCAUCACUAAGGUCUUGCUCAGAGUCACAGCAGAUGGUGCAGGUGAAAGGUUGAGGUCCAUGAGAAUCAGAAUCAGAUUGGUAAAUGGAAAUGCUGAACAGUCAAAAUAAAGGUUUCAAAAGGGAGUUUUCACAGCAGUGCCAUAGAAGAACCAUUUUAGCUUCCAACAAGAAGCUUUUAUUGAACAGUUCUUAAAAGAACAUUUUUUCUUAGUGUGAAGAACUUUUAAAAACCCAAAGAAUCUUUUUUUACACUAUAAAGAACUUUUGUGGAAUGGAAAUGUUCCAUGGAUGUUUAAGAUUGUUCGUUGAACCAUAGAUGCCAUAGAACCUUUAUUUUUAAGUGUUGUUGAUCAAGGAUGUUGAUCCAUGAACAUAUCCGACGUGGCAAAAUCAUGGUCCUCGAGUUACUAAGAUAACAUUAUUUACACACCGCUGGUGAUGUAUGACGGAUUUCUCCAAUCAUUUAGUUUGCUUAAACCCCGCCCCUCCACAAUCUACUGAAUUCAUUUUUUACUGCCACGCCCCCAUCUCGAUAUCCAAUCGAAAAACUAAUGCAUAAAACCAAGUCCCGCCCUAACUUUUUUUUUUUUGGUGUUUCAUUUGGAUGUACAUCAGUCACUGUCGUAUGGCUUUAGAAGACUUGGAAUAUACACUUUAAAAAAAUAAAGAUUCCAAAAGGGGGGUUUUGCAGUGAUGCCGUAGAAGAACCAUUUUUGGUUCCCCAAGGAACCUUUCAGUGAAACAUUCUUAAAAGAACAUUUUUUCUAGGUGUGAAGAACUUUUUCCUACUAUAAAAAACAUUUUGUCCAAUGGAAAUGUUCCAUGAAAGUUAAAGGUUCUUCAUGGAACCAUAGAUGUCAAUAAAGAACCUUUAUUUUUAAGUCAUGUGGACUGCUGCUUUUCCACAUUCACUUUCAUUGUUUAUUUCACAUUCUUUAUUUCAGUGCAUAGAAGAAAGAAAUCAAAGACGAAAUGGACAGAUAUUUAGUUUGAAUCAAAUCAAUCACACACACAACA
Molecule: long non-coding RNA, 1163 nt
Organism: Onychostoma macrolepis
Lineage: Eukaryota; Metazoa; Chordata; Actinopteri; Cypriniformes; Cyprinidae
Exons: 3
Source: RefSeq, a predicted model, not a curated record